Non-coding RNA from Anaerostipes sp. CAG:276, 91 nucleotides. The record is from Rfam. Lineage: Bacteria; Bacillati; Bacillota; Clostridia; Lachnospirales; Lachnospiraceae.
AUUAUUCAUCGGUAAAACUAUUGAAAGAUAGUGACACAAAGCCAAGGGUCUAAGGUCCUCAGAACGGGGAUUAUGACAGCCGGUUGCCACA